Triticum dicoccoides is the source of this 870-nucleotide long non-coding RNA. RefSeq lists it as uncharacterized. The transcript is spliced from 4 exons. The record is from RefSeq and is a predicted model, not a curated record. Lineage: Eukaryota; Viridiplantae; Streptophyta; Magnoliopsida; Poales; Poaceae.
UUUUUCAUUAGUAUACGGCGGCUGUUGCGUGGGAAUACACCGGUGCCAUCUCUGUAGUGUUCUCAGUUUAUACGUGGGCCUCCGUGAUGUGCAAAGAUUGAUUCGCAGGGUGCGCCAUCUAGAAAAUAAUAAUCGCAGAGUGCGCGUGGUUCAACUGGUCAUCCCCUACGCCUCGUAGUAUAAGCGGAAGUGAGGUCGCCAUGGAUGGGGAUGGAGUUCUUCUUCGAGGAGAUUGAAUCGGGAUUUGUUCCUCGAUUGGACGCCGGGAUUCUCUUAAGAGAGUGUUCCUGAUGGGCAAACAGGAUCCAUGGUGUCCGUGUUUGUCGGAUUUCUUCCGAGACGGGCGAGGGGGAGGAUACGCUCGGGAAAUAGAAGUGGACAAGCAAACGGAAGAAACGAUCCUCACGGAAAAAAUUACAGGCUCAUAGGAUGCUAAUGCGCGCGCGCGCGUCACAGCGAGCGAUUUCCGACCAGGAUAAGAAUUGGUAAAGCUGCUGAGGAGAGGAGAGCAACGCCAACCCUAGCAGAGUGCCUUCCCUGGAGGCUUCAGUUCGUGCUUAUGCUGAUAAGUAGACAUGUUGUGUUGUUAAUCCACAAGUUGGUACUAACUUCGAUUCUGUUGAAGAGGCGUACAAAUUUGACAACGUAAACUCCUCGGAGACUGGUUUUGGAUAGCCGGUUGUAUGUCCAUAAAAAGAAAUGCAUGCAACAGAUCGUGUGGGCAUGCACGGUGAGCAGCUGAUGAUUUUUGUGAAUGAGACCAUGCUUGAUUUUGUGUGCCCAUUAGGGAUUAGAAGACGCACGGCUCAUGAGUAACUGAUGAUAAAUACGCCUGCACUAAAUACAUGCACUUCGGCAUUUCUUGUUGAA